Zeugodacus cucurbitae (melon fly) is the source of this 3588-nucleotide long non-coding RNA. RefSeq lists it as uncharacterized. The record is from RefSeq and is a predicted model, not a curated record. The transcript has 3 exons. Lineage: Eukaryota; Metazoa; Arthropoda; Insecta; Diptera; Tephritidae.
AGUAAACAAUUUGCUGAAACUUUUAUUAAAAUUGUGUGCUGUUUUUUAAAUUGUUCAAAUACGUUUGCUGUGAAGAGUUUUGCUUUCGAAAAUGUGAAAUAUACUUGUAGACAUGAAUUGCCUAUUCACUAUAUGAGGUUGCAAGUAGAAAUAUUUAUGAAAAUGGCAGGAGUAUUAAAGGAGCAUAAUUUGAAUUAAGUGCAUUUUAUUUGAACCAUUGAUAACCAACGUGGGUGAAUAAAAACCGAGUUCUAUAAGUAUUUACAAGGAAUGCAUUGCAUAUAUAUAUGAAUCUAACUACGCGAGGUAUUGGACCGGCUUACUAAAUCCAAAACGGCAUAGAAGCACAUGCAAGGCAAGCUGCAAUAAGUUAUACAAGUAGAGAAGAAACGCGCAACAAGUAAUAGCAAAUGCAAAAAUACAUAGUUGUAAGAACAACAAAUGGUGUAAUAGUGGAUAUAAUACCAAUAAAUAAUGCAUAAAAGCAAAGGCAAGGUUGCAAACUGGUAUUGGAGUAAUGUGAAACCGUCGCGCUGUGGGAGGAGGUGGUGUGGUAUAUAACAGCAACAAGACCAAACCGCUGUUGUUUGUUGUUUUUAUUGUGCUUGUACUUGCACCUAGUUAUUUUUUUUUGUUUUGCUGCUUGUAUAUUUGAGAUCAAGAUCAAGGUUUUUUCCCUCAGCCUCAUGCAAUACCUUGCUGCUUAUGUGCUUGUACUUGUUUUCUGUUUUUGUUUUUGCCAUUUCUUAACGACAACCAGUUGUGCGCGUUAGUACAAUGCAAUGCAAAACAACGCCUAAAAAACUUCUAAACAGUGCAAGUAGCUGCAGACAACGGCAAAAUUAUAGCUGUUCAGAAAUACCUAUGUAUGUACGUCGUUUGGCCCAGCUGGGAUGUGAGAAACAAUGCCGUUCGAAGGCAAGGAUACCGGCCAAUUCAAUAACAUACAAACAAAUGUUGAUACGUACAUAAACUCGAUAAGGGGUCCAAGCAUUCGUUAGCAAAGCAAAUGUUAAAACGUUAAAAGCGACAAAUACAUACAUACAUACAUAUAAGCAAACUGAUCAGGGCAGAAGACUGCACGAAAGAUGUUGCCUUCCCGACAAGUUUACUACGAAAAAAAAUCAAAGCCAAAGUCAGAGUCAAUGGCAGAACGAAAAGUUGAGAACGACGUUUGGCGUCGUGAACACGCAAUGCUUUGGUGUAGCUAUUUUCGUUGAAGGCAUACAACCUACGUACAAUAUAAAUACAUAUAUAAUGUUGUAUGUACGAGUAUGUGCGGCAUUCAAGUGCCAGCCUACCAAAGUUUUUCAAAAAACCAAGUUAAAAUAUGUACGAGUAUGUGCUGAGCAUAAAAAAUGAACGCUGUUGUUGCUGUUUAAGCGAAAGGGGUACUAAAGGAUGAAACAUAUAUAAAGUAAUGGAAAAGAAUCACGCGAAACAAAGUUUGCAACUAUUACGUCUGCUUGGCUGGGCACGUUUUGCUUGGCCGUUGACUAUGACCACACGGUAUAUACCAGCAGCUCAAGACACAGAAUGUAUCUAGAGGAUAAAAGUUAUAUAUAAAUAUGUGCUACGUAAUGUAAUUACGUGUAUGUGUGUGCGCGCAUAUGCUUAGUAGUUGAAUUUAAAAUAGUUGCCAGAAGAAUACCAAAGCCCAUGAUUACAUUGGACGAAGUGCUGGCAGAAGCGGUAUGACAACAGUGGUAACAGUGGUAUGAGCUGGCCGACAGAACGUAGCAUACAUACUUACGUGCAUAAUAACUAACGUACGUAAGAGAUAGGUGUGUACGUAAGUGAUAGGUGUGUAUGUUUGUUCUUCGUGUGCAGUAUAACCAGUUUUUCGUAUACUUCUAUAUCUGUUUGUAAUUGCAAGCGCAUAAGAAGCUCACAUUUUACGCCAGCUGACUUGAGGUGUUGGAAGACUGCACUUGAGCUUGAGUUUGCUAAAUUAAUUAUAUAGUAAAUUACAUGCUAAGUGUUAUAAUUUUGUUAUAAAGGAAGAUGCGUCGAAAAUGCAUUAGGAAUACUGAGACGAAAUGAGAAAUUUAAUUUUAAUUAAAAAAAUACUAAUAUUAAUUUUUAAAAAUUUGCUACCAUAUAAAUUAUGGCAUAUUAAAUAUCGCCAUAAAUAAAAGUACUGUUGUUUGCAGCAUUUCAAUUUUGAUCAGCUCAUUCUUAGCAGAUUUUUUUUUUUUUUGCAAAUUAAUUUCUUUCACAACAUUUUGAAAGAAAUCUAAUUACAAAUUCUAGGCAUAACCGUGCGGUAGCAGCAAUCUAACUUGGUUUGUGCAUUGACUGGGUGCUAAGACGAGUGUGUAUGUAUGUAUACGUGUGUAUAAGUACGAGAGAGUGGAUGGCGAGUGAUUUAUAAAAAUAUAUCUACAACAAUUGCAUUGCAUAUAUAAGAUUCUUGAAUGAAUUUAUUCAAGCCAAGUCCGUCAAAGCUUGCAAAUAAAUUUUUCAAUAAUAUUGCAUGCAUUAAUAAAUAUGUAUGUAUGUAUGUAAGACGUGCUGUAAAUAGUAUGUGAACGAAAAUGUGCACGUCAGAGCAUUGCUCUUUAACUUUUUAUUAUAUUCUCAUGACGUUAAGUAAUUCAAAUUGAAUUGUAAAUGUCAAUAUAGCCACAUAUGUAUAUAAAUUAAUUAUAAAAUGUUCUCAAAUACAAUGUAGCCGCUUAACUGGCCUUAAAGCUGCCAUAGAAUUCAACAUAUGUAAGUAACUAAUAAGGCAGUCUGCAAGCUUAGCAAGCAAAUAUAGAACUGCUUUAUUACAAAAUAAUUGACAGUGAGUGGAAUUAAAUAGCAGUGCAUAUAUGUAUAUAUGGUAUAGAAAAUCAAGUUAUUAAUUAAAAAUAAGUAAAAAAUAUUUUAAUUUAAAUGCAAAUAUGUAGCAUGUAUUGUCUGUCAAGUUUGCUUUAAUGCACGGGGUUGUACUUUAAGUAAAAUAAUUACAUUUGGCAGUGAACUUCCCAUAUAACAACAAACAAGCAUUGCGCGUUUCCCUUGUGAUUUCAACUCGUUUGCUUAAUGCCUGUGCGUACAUAGUAUUUAAUUCUAAUUUUUCCAAGUAAUUGCUCGUUAGUUAUUAUAAACAGGAAGUCCUUUUCGCGCGCUUAUUGCAAACUUGACAAGCUAGCGAAAAGCUUAAGCAGCCAAAUGAUGUAUUUGUUUGUUUAGUGUUUGUUUGUAUGUAUGUUAGCUGGUUAGACAAACAUUAAACUUAAACUUGUGUACACAGAAGUAAAUUGCAAAAAUUAAAGAAAAAAAUAAUAAAAAUGACGGCAAACCCGUCUUACGGCUUACGUGAUGGCUAUACGUAGCCGCUAUAUCAUUAACAUAUGCGCACAUUUAACGAGCGCUGGGAAUGCGCAUAGUUGUUGUAUACAUAUGUACAUAUUUUCUGCUACAUUAGAUUGAUUUCUGCAAAUCAUAACCACGUUUCUGCAAUUAUGCCAAAUCAUUUAUCACAAUUUAAUAAUACCACAGCCGGCUGCCAAGAAGUUUGACAACAAAUGCAAAGUGAAAAAAGAAAAAAAUAAAAAUAAUUGUAGCUGAAUUUCAAGCGAAUUGAUUGAAUAGCUGAGA